UGUCCUCCAUAGGAGGUCUAUAUUGAGCAGAUUCUUUUUGGUAUUGGGUGGUGGAACCGGAGCGUGCUCCUUCCACUCCAUGCAUUGACCUGGUAUUGCAGUGCUUCCAGGACCGGUGC
Molecule: small nuclear RNA, 119 nt
Organism: Crocodylus porosus (Australian saltwater crocodile)
Lineage: Eukaryota; Metazoa; Chordata; Crocodylia; Crocodylidae
Gene: U2
Rfam family: U2 spliceosomal RNA
About the family: U2 is a small nuclear RNA (snRNA) component of the spliceosome (involved in pre-mRNA splicing). Complementary binding between U2 snRNA (in an area lying towards the 5' end but 3' to hairpin I) and the branchpoint sequence (BPS) of the intron results the bulging out of an unpaired adenosine, on the BPS, which initiates a nucleophilic attack at the intronic 5' splice site, thus starting the first of two transesterification reactions that mediate splicing.
Source: Ensembl